CGCCUUAUACAUGCAAGUCGAACGAAGUAGCAAUACUUAGUGGCAGACGGGUGAGUAACAUGUAGGUAUCUUCCCUUUGGUGAGGAAUAACACGAGGAAACUUGUGCUAAUACCUCAUAAGUCUUUACGGAGAAAGCUUUAUGCGCCGAAGGAUGAGCCUGCACUUGAUUAGUUUGUUGGUGGGGUAAUGGCCUACCAAGACUUUGAUCUAUAGCUGAUCUGAGAGGAUGAUCAGCCACAUUGGGACUGAGACACGGCCCAAACUCCUACGGGAGGCAGCAGUAGGGAAUAUUGCACAAUGGAGGAAACUCUGAUGCAGCGAUGCCGCGUGAGUGAAGAAGGCCUUUGGGUUGUAAAGCUCUUUCGUCGGGGAAGAAAAUGACUGUACCCGAAUAAGAAGGUCCGGCUAACUUCGUGCCAGCAGCCGCGGUAAUACGAAGGGACCUAGCGUAGUUCGGAAUUACUGGGCUUAAAGAGUUCGUAGGUGGUUAAAAAAGUUGGUGGUGAAAUCCCAGAGCUUAACUCUGGAACUGCCAUCAAAACUUUUUAGCUAGAGUAUGAUAGAGGAAAGCAGAAUUUCUAGUGUAGAGGUGAAAUUCGUAGAUAUUAGAAAGAAUACCAAUUGCGAAGGCAGCUUUCUGGAUCAUUACUGACGCUGAGGAACGAAAGCAUGGGUAGCGAAGAGGAUUAGAUACCCUCGUAGUCCAUGCCGUAAACGAUGUGUGUUAGACGUUGGAAAUUUAUUUUCAGUGUCGCAGCGAAAGCGUUAAACACACCGCCUGGGGAGUACGACC
This 794-nucleotide ribosomal RNA is filed under the name uncultured Pelagibacteraceae bacterium. RNAcentral's name for it is "bacterial SSU rRNA". It matches the Rfam family "Bacterial small subunit ribosomal RNA", at positions 45 to 887 of the family's 1533-position model. Lineage: Bacteria; Pseudomonadati; Pseudomonadota; Alphaproteobacteria; Candidatus Pelagibacterales; Candidatus Pelagibacteraceae. The record is from RNAcentral.